GGGGGAACAACGGGAACAACGGCCCCAGGCCUGGUGAUACAAAAGAGCCCAGAACUCUGGCCGCCACUGUGGUUACUAUGGCAACGGCGGCAUUCGGAGCACUGGGCCCUUGAAAUGGCUGCUGGAGCGCCGCACCAUGCACUCCAGGCCGCGCUGAGGGCUGUCUAUCAACAGCUCCGCCCCUUCUAUCUGAGGCCCCGCCCCUUCUAGGGCCACAGAACAGACCUCCCCCCCACCUCGGCCUUGCCCAGUGGCCUGGCCAGGCUGUCGGCCCCGCUGUAUGAAAAUUAAUCAAUCCCAGGGCAGGCCCAGUGGUGGAGGAGAAAUUCAGGUGCCCUUAAUGUGCAUAUGGGCCGCAGAAGGCUUUCAGUCUGGUGUAGGAACAUACACAAGGUCAAAGCCCGCAGAAAAGAGACCACGCUGCUGAAGAUCAUCUUUGAAGCCGUCCUCCUCUCUUCUUUGGUUCUGACUUCAGUGAGCACUCUCGAGAGGCUGCUGACUUCACAGCCGUCACCUGAGAUGAAUACACGUCCUGCCUGGUGAGGAGGAGAGAAAGACAGGCAGCUCUAAAGUGCAAAUGACUUACUCUGUGAACUCCACUCAAAGCCUCUGCCUUAACCAUUAGCAAGAGUUGAAAAUCCUCAGCGUCGUCAAGGAACGUUUCAGCGUCAUCUUGGUUGGAACUUGCCAACUAGUGAACAAUACAGGAAGGACGAGGGUCACUGGCGGAAAACUCCACUCUGCAAAAGGCUGCUGAGCAGAAGCGACGCUACGUAAUCUGACAGAUUGGAGUUCAGAAGGGGAAGACAUCGGAGCUUGGCAAACACCUCAACAGGCCCCUGGGAACCUCCUCUAGCCCCCGGCUGGGACAAGGAACGCCGGCCAGAGACUCGGAGCCCACGCCGCAAGGUGCUGCAUGAGCAGAGAACAAAUAACGGCAAUACCUUAUAGAGAGCAGAGCAUUUUACGAAGCAGGCUGGCAAAGGGGCUCACGGAGGAAGUUUCCGGGAAGUUUUGUGGCCGCCUUCGUAAGGAUCCAUUGCCCAAAUAACGCUGGCACACCUUCCAGGGCUCUAAACGACAGCAUGAAGAAAAGGAAAGAAAAAACAACAAGUAAGCUUACAGUGACAAUAGGAGAAACAUGAGUAAAAAGCAAAUUGAUGAUAUGCAGAAAAAAGAGUUAACAGAAAUAAUUUCCACUGCCCAGAAUACAUGAAUCUCUUACAUGGUUUAUUUCAGGUUAAAAUAUCGACAUUUCAGACAGGAACAAAGUUUUAAGCACAAUAAUAAACAUGUUACUUUUAAAAAUGAUUUAUUUAAAAACUUUUCCCAUGCCAGUUUACAUUUCCAAAUGUUUUAUUCUUGAUUUUUGUUGCACUCUUUUAAAAUAUAAAGUUUAAAUUGGCAACCCCUCCACUCAGAAAGAUAGACACUUUUAAUGUCAUUAGAAUGCAUGUAUUUACUUACUGUUAGUUAUUAUCACCCCAGCAGUUGAAACUGAAACCCAUUUCCUUGCUCAAAUGUUGUGUCUUCCAUCUUUUGCACGCAUCGUUUUGUUACUAUGGGAAUUUGCUCACCGAGGGGCACUGGCAUUUUCAAACUUUUGCAAUGAAGCAUUUAUUUAUUGAGUUUGUUUUUGAACCAAACACUCCAAAGAUGAGGAUGAAGUAUUAACGUCCAGUUUCCUGGUUUGUGGCACAUCUCACUUACAUUAUCUCAUUCACAAAAGUGUUUGUAAAACACCCAUCUUUGAUACGAGACUCAAACUGAUUCUUCAGCCUAUCCAGUGAAAGCCUGUGUCAGGGCCAAAUUAUGGCAACCUGUAUGCUUCAGCAACUCCCCCCCACCUCCCCAGAUUCUCAAUUACUACCUUAUGGCUGAAUCCAUCCCAUGGAAGGAAUAGAGAGUUUCACCUUUGACUUCUAAGGCCUUCUCUUGGUUUCAAUGAGCUUUGGAUCCUAAUGGCAAACAUCUGUUCUGAGACAGUGCAGAGUGCAGACUGGGACCCUUAGAGCAUGUACUCUACAAAUGCUCUAUACCCAGCUUCCUCGAAGUCAAAAACUCAUGAAGGCGGAUUCCCACCAUCAGGGCUCAACUCUACUUUUGUGGGGGGAAGCUAACGCAUUAGAAAAGUCUAGUGCGGAGAAGGUGGUGUCAACUGGAAGUAUGCUAGCAUACACUGGAACAUAGAACUUGCUACACUGCAUCGGUCAGGGGGUCCAUUCAGCCCAAUACUCUGUCUCUGACGCUGGCCAACACUGAACAUUUUAGAGAGAGGUGCAAGUAACCACUGCCUUGUCUACAUUAGAGUUUGAGACCGAGUUAAUUAGAAGAUGCUGUUUACCAUGCUGCAAGCAUUUAAUCCUAGUCACGAGAAACUCAAAUAUGGUGACACUCUGUAGUGCGUGGAAAGCACUCUGAAGUCAUGUUGAUGUGGAACUGAAUGGAUAUUUACCAAAUGUGCUAUCGACUCAAUAGAUUAUCACUAUGCUGUUAGUUUGGUUAUUGGGUCAGCAUGCAUGAAUGCCAGGUACUCAGAAGGCCUUUCAUGGACAUCUAUAUUUACUAACUUGAGGCUGCAAUAUAGACUCCUCUAAAAUUCACAGAGACAUUUCAUCAAAGACUACAAAGAAAUUCCUGCCCAGAGACAAGCACAUCGUUUUGAAGGCAAUAUCUAUAACAUUUCUUACUUCCCAUGAUACCCUGAUUGUUAUCAAUAAACGGGUCACCUCCAAGAAAUAGUGACUUCUCUUCUGCUCCCACUGACAUUAACGGCAAAAAUACAUCAAUACUGGCUGAAUUCUCUUUCAUUUCUAGUGACUGAACCCACACUUAUAACUUCUCUGGCUCCAGGUUUCCUCCCUCAUAUCAAGUAGUACCUUAAAAUCCAUGGGACUAUUUGUGGAAUGAGGAAUUUGUGGAAUCAUUGCAAAUAAUAGAAGCAGCAAUUGGGCCUUCAAAUGAAAUGAACAUGAUUUAAAAAAAAUGUAAUGCACUUUUGAGCAGAAACGUUUUGCUCUAUUUUAGCCUUGCACACAUUUCUAGAGAUGAGAGACACAGCCAUGAAAAUUGGGGAUUGCAAUCAAGGCAAAUGCUGACAACAUUACCUGUAGCCAUCUAGACAGUACCUCUAUAAGCCAAUUUAAAACUUCCCCUUGCUAAUUUUGAAAGCAGUGGUAAAAUGAUGUUAAUCUUAAAAAGCAUAACAUCUUUUAACAGUAACAUCUUUAACACUUUAUCACUCUCCAGCAAGAAAAUAAACUGAUGUACCUAAAUUAUACAGAUUAUCAAAACUUGUUUUAACAGUUAUACAGCAAACUCUAAAUUGAACAAGAAUUAAGUAUUCUAAUUUAUUGUGCAAAGCUAGUACGGUUCAAGAUAUUUAUGAACAGAAAUGGUCAAAUGCAUGUGCUUUCCCGUUUGUGAUUUGAAUUAAAAGACCCAAGUGGUAUUCAGUAUAUAAUUCUACCAUAAACUACUGCAUAUUACAACAUAUCUUUACUGCUUGUGCUAUUGCCAUUAUUUAUUGACUUUCUUGGGUGACCCCUUACUGUAAAGGGAUACCUUAAAUAGAAGAGGAGCAAAUAAAGAAAGCUGACAUUUUGGAAAGUAUUUAUGUUUGAAAAAAGAGUUUUACUCUCCAAUAAUUCUGUCGUCUCUGGGGAAAAAAAUAGGAUAAAAAAACUGAUCCUGAUGAAGCAUUCAAAUAUUAGAUUUAUUCCACAAAAGAUUUGUGAAUAGAUUUAUCUAUAACGAAAAGCAUUUUGACAUUUAUUUACCAACAUGGCUGACUCAUGCAACCCGAGCAAAUACAGAAGACUAAAAUAUAGGCCACAAGAGAGUGAUUUUGGCUGUAGAAUCUUAUACAUUAGGUUCCGUAGACUCUUUGCAGCUAUUUGAUUCCGAUUUACUAGACCAAGGCUACAAGAAGAGUUUCUAGUUUGCUGCAGCUUUUAUUUGGUCUCGUUAGAGCACAUGUAGCUUACAUACUUGAGAAUACAUUUAUUGCCCCACUCUAAAAUCGGCUCUCUUUGGAGCCAGUCCAGAUUUUUGGUUCCCUAUGUCUGAUAGCUCAAGGAUGGGGUUUUUUUUAAAUAUAUAACCUAUGACAGACCCACUGAUGAGCUACUGACCAUUUAUUUUUCGAUAUGCUAUUCCACAAGCAAUAGUAGCUUUGGGAUCAAAGGCCAUUUUGACCUCACUUACCUUGAAAGGUGCUCCUUUUUCUAAAAUGAAUGAUUCAACAAAGAAACAAACUGACAACCAAGAGGGACAUGGAUACAACGGACAAAACACACACGGACAACAUAAACAAUACAAAACCAAAGGGAAUCAAAAACCACCACACAUAUUUGAAUGGAUCUGAGGAACAGCUAUCAAACUGAAGUCAGCCGUUCAGCAAGGCUAGUGAGAAAAAGCCUAAGGAAAAUGGAGAAGAUGUACUGCGAUGAGAGAAGAUAUUCUUUAUACCCGGUUCCAAAAAACAAAGGGAGGGGGGGAAAAAAGAAGGGGGGGAAAAAAAGAAAAAAAUGGGCCUAUAAAAGCCACAUAACAUGGGACUCUCACUAGAAAAAUUAGAGAGA
Molecule: non-coding RNA, 4583 nt
Organism: Pelodiscus sinensis (Chinese soft-shelled turtle)
Lineage: Eukaryota; Metazoa; Chordata; Testudines; Trionychidae
Source: RefSeq, a predicted model, not a curated record